This 510-nucleotide ribosomal RNA is filed under the name uncultured bacterium. RNAcentral describes it as "partial 16S ribosomal RNA". It matches the Rfam family "Bacterial small subunit ribosomal RNA", at positions 28 to 507 of the family's 1533-position model. The record is from RNAcentral.
GACGAACGCUGGCGGCGUGCUUAACACAUGCAAGUCGAACGAAGAGCGAUGGAAGCUUGCUUCUAUCAAUCUUAGUGGCGAACGGGUGAGUAACGCGUAAUCAACCUGCCCUUCAGAGGGGGACAACAGUUGGAAACGACUGCUAAUACCGCAUACGAUCUAAUCUCGGCAUCGAGGAUAGAUGAAAGGUGGCCUCUACAUGUAAGCUAUCACUGAAGGAGGGGAUUGCGUCUGAUUAGCUAGUUGGAGGGGUAACGGCCCACCAAGGCGAUGAUCAGUAGCCGGUCUGAGAGGAUGAACGGCCACAGUGGGACUGAGACACGGCCCAGACUUCUACGGGAGGCAGCAGGGGGGAAUCUUCCGCAAUGGACGAAAGUCUGACGGAGCAACGCCGCGUGAGUGAUGACGGCCUUCGGGUUGGAAAGCUCUGUUAAUCGGGACGAAAGGCCUUCUUGCGAAUAGGGAGAAGGAUUGACGGUACCGGAAUAGAAAGCCACGGCUAACUACGUG